This 433-nucleotide ribosomal RNA is filed under the name uncultured bacterium. Its description in RNAcentral is "bacterial SSU rRNA". It matches the Rfam family "Bacterial small subunit ribosomal RNA", at positions 355 to 786 of the family's 1533-position model. The record is from RNAcentral.
UGAGGAAUAUUGGUCAAUGGGCGGGAGCCUGAACCAGCCAAGCCGCGUGAGGGAAGAAGGCCCUAUGGGUCGUAAACCUCUUUUGUCAGGGAACAAAAGCGAGUAUGUAUACUGGUCUGAGUGUACCUGAAGAAAAACGCAUCGGCUAACUCCGUGCCAGCAGCCGCGGUAAUACGGAGGAUGCGAGCGUUAUCCGGAUUUAUUGGGUUUAAAGGGUGCGUAGGCGGCGGUGCAAGUCAGCGGUAAAAGCCCGGGGCUCAACCCCGGCGAGCCGUUGAAACUGCAGUGCUAGAGAAGGCGAGAGGUACGCGGAAUGCGCAGUGUAGCGGUGAAAUGCUUAGAUAUUGCGCAGAACUCGAUUGCGAAGGCAGCGUACUGGCGCCUGACUGACGCUGAGGCACGAAAGCGUGGGGAUCGAACAGGAUUAGAUACC